GACGAACGCUGGCGGCGUGCCUAAUACAUGCCAGUAGAACGCACAGUUUAUACCGUAGCUUGCUACACCAUAGACUGUGAGUUGCGAACGGGUGAGUAACGCGUAGGUAACCUGCCUGGUAGCGGGUGAUAACUAUUGCAAACGAUAGCUAAUACCGCAUAAUAUUAAUUAUUGCAUGAUAAUUAAUUGAAAGGUGCAAUUGCACCACUACCAGAUGGACCUGCGUUGUAUUAGCUAGUAGGUGAGGUAACGGCUCACCUAGGCGACGAUACAUAGCCGACCUGGGAGGGUGAGCGGGCACACUGGGACGGGGAAACGGCCCAGACUCCUACGGGAGGCGGCAGUAGGGAAUAUUCGGGAAAGGAGGAAAGAAUGACGGAGAAAGGCCGAGUGAGGGAAGAAGGUUUGCGGAUCGUAAAGCGAUGGUGUAAGAGAAGAAAGGGUGUGAGAGUGGAAAGUUCACACUGGGAAGGUAUCUUACCAGAAAGGGACGGCUAAAUAAGUG
Molecule: ribosomal RNA, 505 nt
Filed under: uncultured bacterium
Lineage: Bacteria
Description: partial 16S ribosomal RNA
Rfam family: Bacterial small subunit ribosomal RNA
Source: RNAcentral